Molecule: non-coding RNA, 362 nt
Organism: Arachis ipaensis
Lineage: Eukaryota; Viridiplantae; Streptophyta; Magnoliopsida; Fabales; Fabaceae
Source: RefSeq, a predicted model, not a curated record
GAUAAAAGAAUGUUGAAGUUUGUGGUGUUUUCAUGAUAAGUUGAAUCGUUGAUCUAAGUAGAGCAAGGCACCUUUGCUUGAGAUAGUUUUCGAGCCUGAUAUAAAAACCGGUGUUGAAGCAGCAGAGCAUGCAGCAAAAAUACAGAGAUUGGUUCAAUAUUUGGGAGUGAGCAAUAGAAAUAUGAAAACUUUUUCUAUAUUAACAGUGGUGGGUGCUUUUAGUAUCUAAAUCUACUAUCAGCAUAAGUACAUAAUUCAAGGUUCAGCCCAUUAUGUACAAGCACAAAUAUAGUGGAGGUCAUGGUUCUCUAUGGAUUUUGACAGCAAAGCUACAAAGGCUUCUCGAUAGUGUAAUAUGAAGA